RNAcentral lists this non-coding RNA (29 nucleotides) under Rattus norvegicus (Norway rat). Lineage: Eukaryota; Metazoa; Chordata; Mammalia; Rodentia; Muridae. The record is from RNAcentral.
UGAGUUACGUGAUACCCCAUCUCGGUUAA